Long non-coding RNA from Numida meleagris (helmeted guineafowl), 244 nucleotides. RefSeq lists it as uncharacterized. The transcript has 2 exons. NCBI's taxonomy places the organism in Eukaryota, Metazoa, Chordata, Aves, Galliformes, Numididae. The record is from RefSeq and is a predicted model, not a curated record.
GCGGGGAGAGGCACCAAUCAGCGACGCCGACGGAGAUCGUCUCCGCCAGUGAAAUCCGAGCUGGGCGGCGAGGAUGCAAAUGUGACCGCCAACCUUCUCCCAAAGCAGUCAAACCGCAGAGCAGGAGCCCCUCAAAGCUAGAAGAGAUAUUCCUUACUGGAGAUCUAAACCUGGAGAUGUCCUACAUGAUAAAAACAAAACUUUCUGGGACACAGGAAGAGUGGAAUAAAGAAAAAAAAAAAAA